CCUACGGGAGGCAGCAGUGGGGAAUAUUGGGCAAUGGGCGCAAGCCUGACCCAGCAACGCCGCGUGAAGGAAGAAGGCUUUCGGGUUGUAAACUUCUUUUCUUAGGGACGAAGAAAGUGACGGUACCUCAGGAAUAAGCCACGGCUAACUACGUGCCAGCAGCCGCGGUAAUACGUAGGUGGCAAUCGUUCUCCGGAUUUAUUGGGUGUAAAGGGCGUGUAGGCGGGAAAGCCAGUCAGAUGUGAAAACUCAGAGCUCAACCCUGAGCCUGCAUUUGAAACUGUUUUUCUUGAGUGCUGGAGAGGCAAUCGGAAUGCCGUGUGUAGCGGUGAAAUGCGUAGAUAUACGGAGGAACACCAGUGGCGAAGGCGGAUUGCUGGACAGUAACUGACGCUGAGGCGCGAAAGCGUGGGGAGCAAACAGGAUUAGAUACCCCAGUAGUC
RNAcentral lists this ribosomal RNA (443 nucleotides) under uncultured bacterium. RNAcentral describes it as "partial 16S ribosomal RNA". It matches the Rfam family "Bacterial small subunit ribosomal RNA", at positions 338 to 795 of the family's 1533-position model. The record is from RNAcentral.